UGAACGCUGGCGGCGUGCCUACUACAUGCAAGUCGAGCGAACAGACGAGGAGCUUGCUCCUCUGACGUUAGCGGCGGACGGGUGAGUAACACGUGGAUAACCUACCUAUAAGACUGGGAUAACUUCGGGAAACCGGAGCUAAUACCGGAUAAUAUAUUGAACCGCAUGGUUCAAUAGUGAAAGACGGUUUUGCUGUCACUUAUAGAUGGAUCCGCGCCGCAUUAGCUAGUUGGUAAGGUAACGGCUUACCAAGGCGACGAUGCGUAGCCGACCUGAGAGGGGGAGCGGCCACAGGGGAACUGAGCCAGGGCCCGGCCUCAGCGGGGAGGCACAGGUAGGAAAUUGUCCGAAAGGGGAGAAAGCCUAACGGAGAAACCCGGCGUGAGUGAUAAAGGUCUUCGGAUCGAAAAACUUUUUUAUUGGGGAAAAACAAAUGUGUAAGUACCUAUGCGCGUUUUGAGGGUCCCUAAUAAAAAAGCCACGGCUAACUCCGUC
RNAcentral lists this ribosomal RNA (495 nucleotides) under uncultured bacterium. RNAcentral describes it as "partial 16S ribosomal RNA". It matches the Rfam family "Bacterial small subunit ribosomal RNA", at positions 30 to 507 of the family's 1533-position model. The record is from RNAcentral.